GCGGAAGUAGUAUAGUGGUUAGUAUAUGGCCUUGCCAAGGCUGUGACGCGGGUUCGACUCCCGCCUUUCGCA
This 72-nucleotide transfer RNA is filed under the name Candidatus Woesearchaeota archaeon CG10_big_fil_rev_8_21_14_0_10_32_9. RNAcentral describes it as "tRNA-Gly". It matches the Rfam family "tRNA". Rfam says of the family: Transfer RNA (tRNA) molecules are approximately 80 nucleotides in length. The record is from RNAcentral. Lineage: Archaea; Nanobdellati; Candidatus Woesearchaeota.